This is a long non-coding RNA of Haliotis rubra (blacklip abalone), 879 nucleotides long. RefSeq lists it as uncharacterized. Lineage: Eukaryota; Metazoa; Mollusca; Gastropoda; Lepetellida; Haliotidae. The transcript has 4 exons. The record is from RefSeq and is a predicted model, not a curated record.
UCAACACAAUGGAUUAUUUCUACGCUUGUACGUAUUAUCUAAAUCGAGAAAAUGGCAUCGAGAGUGUCUCUAGAAGCUUUGGAGGUUCGUGUACGCGAACUGGAAUUCAGCAGCAGUCGUCUAUCACAGAGAGAGAAACAGAACGUCCCACGACCUUAUCAGCAAUCCAUUAGGGCAGUGGUGGAAAAAUUGAAGAAGGCGACCGAUGACCAACUGAUUUUGACCUACAACAGAAGCUUUUUGGUGGGUGUGGACCAACAAGAGGGAUGACCUGAGAAGACAACAAAGUGGAAAGGCAGAGGCCCACAGGUUGUCUGCUAAGAACAGCAAAAGGGUCAGAUCAAAACUGGAAAGCAGGCUGAAGGCCAUUGCAACCAUAGACUGGCCGGAGAAGAAGAAGGAGAAAGUUCUACCUCUCUAGAGGGAAGAGCUGACAUCACCCAUGGUGUCAGACGAAGAGGAUGAAAAUCUUCUCUUGUCAACUGCUUUCUGGUGGGAAACCAAGACACUUUGUUCAUAUAAGCGACAAUUGGACAACCAGCGGUUGUUCAAGGCUACUGCAAGGGGCCGAAAAAUAUGAAGAUGUGGGAAGACAUCCCACACAAGUCCAACACGCUGAUCUGCCACUGGACAUGCCCAGUUGGGCAGUGAAAAGUUCAGCAGAAGAAGACCAGCUGAACAACACUGCUGAUUUUGAUUCCUGAGACACAUUUCUGAUGUCCCAUGCUGUGAUGUUGCUUGAAUAUUGCUAAAAGCGGAGUAAAACUAUACUCACUUACUCUUAUGUCCCUGAUGUUAUGUACAUGUAGCUAGAUACAUAAUUAAUUAACCAUGUUCACAAUCAAAGAGUUUUGACUGUCAAUAAACUUUUCAUUCAUU